Long non-coding RNA from Oncorhynchus tshawytscha (Chinook salmon), 560 nucleotides. RefSeq lists it as uncharacterized. The transcript has 2 exons. The record is from RefSeq and is a predicted model, not a curated record. Lineage: Eukaryota; Metazoa; Chordata; Actinopteri; Salmoniformes; Salmonidae.
CCACCACUGUAAUUGUUGAAACCUCUACCUCAACACCACAGCCCACAUCAACAGGUGAAGAAACAACAGGGCCAGUUGGCAUUACUUCCAAUCCCACGACUUCAACCACAACAACUGCAGAGGUAAUUACACCUACCACAGGUGGAACUACAAAAGUUGAAGAAACCACAACGGUGACUAUUCCAUCUACAUCCACAAAGCCACCUAAAGAAUUCACCACUGGCCCAACAACCACUUCCACCACUGUAAUUGUUGAAACCUCUACCUCAACAUCCCAGCCCACAACAACAGGUGAAGAAACAACAGGGCCAGUUGGCAUUACUUCCAAUCCCACGACAUCAACCACAACAACUGCAGAGGUAAUUACACCUACCACAGGUGGAACUACAAAAGUUGAAGAAACCACAACGGAGUCUAUUCCAUCUACAUCCACAACGCCACCUAAAGAAUUCACCACUGGCCCAACAACCACUUCCACCACCGUAAGUGUUGAAACCUCUACCUCAACACCACAGCCCACAUCAACAGGUGAAGAAACAACAGGGCCAGUUGGCAUUACU